This 482-nucleotide ribosomal RNA is filed under the name uncultured bacterium. RNAcentral's name for it is "partial 16S ribosomal RNA". It matches the Rfam family "Bacterial small subunit ribosomal RNA", at positions 30 to 507 of the family's 1533-position model. The record is from RNAcentral.
AUUGAACGCUGGCGGCAUGCCUUACACAUGCAAGUCGAACGGUAACGGGCCUUCGGGUGCCGACGAGUGGCGAACGGGUGAGUAGUACAUCGGAACGUGCCCGAUCGUGGGGGAUAACGAGGCGAAAGCUUUGCUAAUACCGCAUACGAUCUACGGAUGAAAGCAGGGGACCGCAAGGCCUUGCGCGGACGGAGCGGCCGAUGGCAGAUUAGGUAGUUGGUGGGAUAAAAGCUUACCAAGCCGACGAUCUGUAGCUGGUCUGAGAGGAUGAUCAGCCACACUGGGACUGAGACACGGCCCAGACUCCUACGGGAGGCAGCAGUGGGGAAUUUUGGACAAUGGGCGCAAGCCUGAUCCAGCCAUGCCGCGUGCAGGAUGAAGGCCUUUGGGUUGUAAACUGCUUUUGUACGGAACGAAAAGCCUUCUUUUAAUACAGGAGGGUCAUGACGGUACCGUAAGAAUAAGCACCGGCUAACUACGUG